Populus nigra (black poplar) is the source of this 1761-nucleotide RNA transcript. It is a transcript of the gene named choline-phosphate cytidylyltransferase 1-like, with no coding region annotated. The record is from RefSeq and is a predicted model, not a curated record. The transcript is spliced from 9 exons. NCBI's taxonomy places the organism in Eukaryota, Viridiplantae, Streptophyta, Magnoliopsida, Malpighiales, Salicaceae.
GGGAAAAAUUAUAAUUGGAGAAGAAAUAUUCUCUUUUGUGCCCUAUGGUCUGAAAACUCGUUAACCAAUCAAAUAAAAAUAUAAUAAAAAAGAAGAAGCAUGGUUUGUGAUGCAAAGGAGACACACAGAUUGACAGAUUCUGUGUGCGCAGCGCAGUGUAUAGUUUCAGCGCUGUUCUAAGCAACGCUAAAUAAAGUCAUUCAUUCUUUCUUCACUUUAAGAGAGAAUCACUCCACAAAACAACACAAAAAUAAAUAAAUAGAUAAAUGGAGGAAGAUAAGGCGAAGAAGAGCUCGAGGCUAGUAGAGGCAGCAAACGAGGAGGAGGAGGAGGAGGAGAGGCCGGUACGAGUAUAUGCAGACGGCAUCUACGAUCUCUUCCACUUUGGCCAUGCCCGUUCUCUCGAGCAAGCCAAGAAACUAUUCCCAAACACGUAUUUGGUGGUUGGAUGCUGCAAUGAUGAAGUAACUCACAAAUACAAGGGUAAAACUGUGAUGACUGAUCAAGAACGCUACGAGUCUCUUCGCCAUUGCAGGUGGGUUGAUGAAGUUAUCCCUGAUGCACCAUGGGUUAUCACACAAGAGUUUCUCGACAAACAUAGGAUCGACUAUGUGGCUCAUGACUCUCUUCCUUAUGCUGAUGCAAGUGGAGCCGGAAAGGAUGUCUAUGAAUUUGUCAAGUCUGUGGGGAGAUUUAAGGAAACAAAGCGGACUGAUGGGAUCUCCACGUCAGAUGUUAUAAUGAGGAUAGUUAAAGAUUAUAAUGAGUAUGUGAUGCGUAAUUUGGCACGUGGAUAUACAAGAAAAGAUUUGGGUGUCAGCUAUGUGAAGGAAAAGCGGCUGAGAGUUAACAUGGGGUUUAAAAAGCUGCGUGAGAAAGUGAAGAAACAGCAAGAGAUAGUCGGGGAAAAGAUACAAGUAGUCGCUAAAACAGCCUGUGUGCAUCGGAAUGAGUGGGUGGAGAAUGCUGAUAGAUUGGUCGCUGGAUUUCUUGAAAUGUUUGAAGAACGCUGUCAUAAAAUGGGAACAACUAUCAGAGAGCGAAUUCAAGAGAAACUGACGAAGCAGAAGUUAAUAGGGCUUAUAUAUGAUAGAUACUAUGGUGAUGGUGAUGGUGAUGGUGAUAGUGAUCAGUACUACUACGAUGAUGACACAGAAGAAGAAUACAGUGACUAGGACAUUUGAAUAGCUUCUUUGGUUAUUUAUAAUUGAUAGGAACCGAUACUUCAGUUUUGAUGUUUGUGUAUAAAUAUGUGACGGUUCUCGUUUGGGAGAGGAAUAUUGUUUGCAAAAUUCGUGCUGUCUAAAAUUUGAGAGGACUCAAGCUCUACACUCUUGAAAUGUCUAUGAGUUCAGAACAUCAACAUGAAUUGCACUGUUAGUGAACUGAAGCCAAGAAAGGUAGUGCCAGCAGCAAGAUGGAACUGCAAGAACACGUACGGUAACCUCAAUCUCUCAAAUGAUUUGCAUUUUCACCACAUCCACAUAAUCCUUCCAUUCAAAUCAGCAAGUGGAAUUGAAUGCGAGCAAAGUAGGUGGUGGAUAUGGAUUCCUUAGACGUGCAACGACAAAACACCCCACCAGACAUACAGAAGAAGAGCAAUGUGGCCCUUAUUGUCCUAUGCCAUUAUUGCUUGCUUUAUAUUGUCCUACAGGCUUCUGUGUCAUCAUGUCGAAAAUCCGUGCAAUUGCAAGUCCUUCACACAUACAAGGUGGAGGUACCUUUCAUGAUAUCUUUUUCAGCAACAAAUUUUCUCAUCCA